UACGGGGGGGGCAAGCGUUGUUCGGAAUUACUGGGCGUAAAGGGCGCGUAGGCGGGCCGCCGCGUCCGGGGUGAAAUCCCACGGCUCAACCGUGGAACGGCCCCGGGUACGGGCGGUCUGGAGGGGGGUAGGGGCGUGCGGAACUGUGCGUGGAGCGGUGAAAUGCGUUGAUAUGCACAGGAACUCCGGUGGCGAAGGCGGCACGCUGGACCCCAUCUGACGCUGAGGCGCGAAAGCCAGGGGAGCGAACGGG
This 253-nucleotide ribosomal RNA is filed under the name uncultured bacterium. RNAcentral's name for it is "partial 16S ribosomal RNA". It matches the Rfam family "Bacterial small subunit ribosomal RNA", at positions 524 to 776 of the family's 1533-position model. The record is from RNAcentral.